CCUACGGGAGGCAGCAGUGAGGAAUAUUGGUCAAUGGGCGGGAGCCUGAACCAGCCAAGCCGCGUGAGGGAAGAAGGUACAGCGUAUCGUAAACCUCUUUUGUCAGGGAACAAAGGCGGGGACUAGUCCCCGGAUGAGGGUACCUGAAGAAAAAGCAUCGGCUAACUCCGUGCCAGCAGCCGCGGUCAUACGGAGGAUGCGAGCGUUAUCCGGAUUUAUUGGGUUUAAAGGGUGCGCAGGCGGCCUGUUAAGUCAGCGGUAAAAGCCCGGGGAUCAACCCCGGCGAGCCGUUGAAACUGGCGGGCUGGAGGUGGAGAGAAGUACGAGGAAUGAGCGGUGUAGCGGUGAAAUGCUUAGAUAUCGCGCAGAACUCCGAGUGCGAAGGCAGCUUACUAAACUGCCACUGACAGUGAUGCUCGAAAGUGUGGGUAUCAAACAGGAUUAGAUACCCCUGUAGUC
Molecule: ribosomal RNA, 459 nt
Filed under: uncultured bacterium
Lineage: Bacteria
Description: partial 16S ribosomal RNA
Rfam family: Bacterial small subunit ribosomal RNA
Source: RNAcentral